GCCCAGGUGGUGGAAUUGGUUUACACACACGGUUGAGGGCCGUGACUCUUUGAGUGUGCGGGUUCGACUCCCGCUCUGGGCA
Molecule: transfer RNA, 82 nt
Filed under: Candidatus Pacearchaeota archaeon
Lineage: Archaea; Nanobdellati
Description: tRNA-Leu
Rfam family: tRNA
About the family: Transfer RNA (tRNA) molecules are approximately 80 nucleotides in length. Their secondary structure includes four short double-helical elements and three loops (D, anti-codon, and T loops). Further hydrogen bonds mediate the characteristic L-shaped molecular structure. tRNAs have two regions of fundamental functional importance: the anti-codon, which is responsible for specific mRNA codon recognition, and the 3' end, to which the tRNAs corresponding amino acid is attached (by aminoacyl-tRNA synthetases). tRNAs cope with the degeneracy of the genetic code in two manners: having more than one tRNA (with a specific anti-codon) for a particular amino acid; and 'wobble' base-pairing, i.e. permitting non-standard base-pairing at the 3rd anti-codon position.
Source: RNAcentral